UUUUAUGAUGACAAAGGGCCAUAGCGCCUGAUAUAAUCCCAGCUCUUCGAGUGCCUCAAUAAUACAACGCAGAGUGCGCACUGAGAUAAAAAACCUGCUCUGAUUU
Molecule: small nucleolar RNA, 106 nt
Filed under: Xylaria grammica
Lineage: Eukaryota; Fungi; Ascomycota; Sordariomycetes; Xylariales; Xylariaceae
Also listed under: 1 other name
Description: A. fumigatus snoRNA Afu_304
Rfam family: A. fumigatus snoRNA Afu_304
Source: Rfam by way of RNAcentral